UGACGCCCGGGAAGUGAGCACGCGCGGCGGGCCAGGAAGUGGUGCACAUGCCCUUCGGAGGCUUCCUUCCCUUUUCCGGUGGUGUCCCGGGAAGGUCAUGCUGCGCCAUUUUGUCUCUAAAUGCGCAUGCCCAGCCUCACUUGCCCAAUACCUGCGAUUUUGUUGGAAGCCCUUUUUAUCUCUUUGGGAAGUUGCUUCUUCCUGGUGCCUGCAUUAGUGUGACGGCUGUGGAUCAUCAGGAGAUUGUCUCUCCCUCGCUACGGCUGCUCUUUGUCAUUUUUAGAGGGGCAGUGUGGUAACUGUGAACAAACAUGACUGUGGUUGCCUGACAUUCCUGGCAGGUGGGGGAGAGCCCUUUCCUGUCCCGCUUAUGUCUGACUGCCUGUACCACGUGGGCUCGGACAAGGAGAUCACAGGGUCUGCCUCUCGCCCUCUUCUUGCCGCUGCAAUGGCUUUGCUCUCUGCAGCCUUGCUCCACGUUGGGGAGAGACCACCACCCAGGGCACAGCCUUGUAGGACCCCAAGCUCCACACACCAGAAAGAAAGCUCUCUCCAAAAGAGUCUUCCUUGGAUCUCGCUUGUCAUAUCCACAGUGGAGAAAGUGGAGCCACAAACCUAUGUGGUGACGGCUCUGGAUGGCAUUGAAGGGGCUCCCCAAAAGGAAGGACGAACAUGCACUCUUUAGACACCACAUCUAAUGUCCCUCAACCUCAGUUACCCAGUCUGCAAAACACACAAGGAAUCUAAUAUUAUCACAGUACAUGAGUAUUAACGGAGAAACUGUACACACAGUUCUUGCCCCUUGGCCUGCACAAAAUGGGCCUUCAACAAAUAACAGAUUUUUUUUUUAAAGACUAUUUUUUUUUUUUUUUUUUUGAGAUGGUGUCUUGCUCUGUCACCCACUCUGGAGUGCAGUGGCACAAUCUCGGGUUCCCGGGUUCAAGUGAUUUUCCUGCCUCAGCCUCCUGGGUAGCUGGGAUUACAGGCACGUACCACCACACUUAGCUAAUUUUUUUGUAUUUUUAGUAGAAAUGAGGUUUCAUCAUGUUGGCCAGGCUGGUCUCCAACUCCUGAGCCCACGUGAUCCGUCUGCCUCGGCCUCCCAAAGUGCUGGGAUUAUAGUCGUGAACCACUGCUCCCAGCCAAGACUAUUUUUUUUUUUAGGAAUAGUUUUAGAUUCGCAGCAAAAUUGAGCAGAAGGUAGGAAGAAUUCCCAUCUACUUCCUGCCCUCACACAGACACAGUCUGGCCAGCUAUCUGCAUCCCCUACCAGAGGGGUACAUUUGUUACAGUCAGUGAGCCUCCAGCAACACUUCAUUCUCUCCCAAAGCCCCUAGUCUACAUUAGGGCUCAUUCUUGUCAUUUUUAGAGGGGCAGUGUGGUAACGGUGCUGUACAUUCUGUGGGUUUGGAUAAGUAGAUAAUGGCGGGAAUCCAUCUUUUUAGUAUUACACAGGGUAUUUUCACCUCCAGAAAAAUUGUGUGUGCUCUGCUGAUUCAUUCCUUCCCUCGAAAGCCCUGGCACCCACUUUUUACUGUCAUCAUAGGUUUGCCUUUUCCAGAAUGUCAUGCAGUUGGAUCAUGUAGUUUGUAGUCUUUGGGGAUUGGCUUAUUUCCCUUAGGAAUAUGCAUUGAAAUUUCCCUCGUGUCUUUUCGUGAACUGAUAGCUCAUUUCUUUUCAGUGCUGAAAACUGUUUUAAGGUCUGGAUGUAUUACAGUUUGUCUGUUCACCAAUUGAAGGACAUCUUGGUUGCUUCCAAUUUUUGGCAAUUACGUACAAAGCCGAUUUAAACAUCCCUAUGUAGGCUUUUGUGUGGACAUAAAUUUUGAAUUUCUUUGGGUAAAUACGAAGGAGUGGAACUGCUGAAUUGGAUGGGAAGAGUAUGUUUCGUUUUGUAAGAAACUCGCUAGACUGCGGUGGAUGGGUUCUUUCGCCCUACAUCCUCAUGUUGUCGGCGUUUUGGGUUUUGGCUGUUUAGUACGUGUGUAAACUGUGUCGCUGUUGUUCUGAUUUGCAUUUCCCUGAUGACGUGAUGCUGAACAUCUUUUCAUAUGCUUAUUAGCCAUCUGUGUAUCUCCUCUAGCGAGGUAUUUGUUAAGGUCCUUGCCCCAUUUUUUAAAAUGAGUUGUUUGUAUUCUUAUUGUUGAGUUUUUAAAGUUUUUGUAUAUUUUGGAUACAGUCCUUUAAUGUAUGUCUCUUGCAGAUAUAUUUUUUUCUCAGCUUGUGGCCUAUCUUUUCAUUUUCUUCACUGUGUCUUUUGCAGACCAGAAGUUUUAAAAUCACUUCCAGCUUGUCAAUUAGUUCUUUCAUAAAUAAUGAAUUUGAUGUAUCUAAAAGUCAUUGCCAAACCCAAGGUCAUCUAGGUUCUCUUCUGUGUUAUCUUCUAGGAGUUUUAUAGCUUUUUGCAUUUUGUACUUAUGUCUAUGAUCCACUUUGAAUUAAUGUUUGUGGAUGGUGUAAGAUCUGUGUCUAGAUUCAUUCUUUUAUAGGAUGUCAGUUGUUCCAGCACUGUUUACUGAAAAGACUAGCUUUGUUUCAUUUUAUUGCCUUUGUUCUUUUGUCAAAGACCAGUUCACUAUAUUUAUGUGGAUAUGUUUUUGGACCUCUAUUCUGUUCCAUUGAUCUGCUUUUUUGCCAAUACCACACUGUUUUUAGAGUAAGCUGUAGCUUUAGAAUAAGUCUUGAAGUCAGGUAGUGUCCAUCCUCCAAGUUUGUUCUCCUUCAGUAUUCUGUUGGCUAGUCUGGGUCGUUUGCCCCUUUUUAUAACCUUUAGAAUCAGUCCAUCAAGAUUCCCAAAAUAACUUGCUGGGAUUUUGAUUGGGAUUGCGUUAAAUCUCCAGAUUAAGUUGGGAAGAAUCUUGAUAGCUUGACAAUAUGGAGUCUUCCUAUCCAGGGACAUGAACUGUUUUCCUACUUACUUAGUUUUUUUUAUUCCUCUUAUCAAAGUUUCACAGUUUUCCUCAUACAGAUGUUUUGCAUAUUUUGUGAGAUUUAUUCUUAAGGUAUUCCUUUGUUUUUUCAAGCGCUCUACUAUCAAUGGCGUUAUGAUUUUAAUUUCAAGUCCCACUUGUUCAUUGCUGUUAGGUAGGAAAGUGAUUGGCUUUGCAUAUCAAUCUUGUAGGCUGCCUCCUUGCUAUUAGCAUAAGCAGUCAUUAGUUUCAGGAGUUUUUCCCUUGGUCAGUUCUCUCAGAUUUUCUCAUAGUCAGUUGUGUCAUCUGCAAACAAAGACAACUUCAUUUCUUUCUUCUCCUCUGUGUACCUUAUAUGUCAUUUUCUUGUUUAUUGCAUUAGCUAGGACUUUUAGUGUGACGUUGCAAAGGAGCGUUGAGAGGUGAUGCCCGUGCCUCGUUCCUGGUCUUAGUGGGGAAAGUUUUGAGUUUCUCACCAUUAGGAAUGGUGAUGUUAGCUGUAGGUAGAUUUGUAGAUAUUCUUUAUCAAGUUGGGGAAAGUUCUCAUCUAUCUCAGUUAUUUUUUUAUAGCUGAAUAAAAAGUAUUACAUCGAGUUCAUGUUCAGAGCUGGUUAAGGCACCAUCUCCAUGAGGUUUCCGUGCACCGUGCAGUCCAGAGGCUGUGGUCAUGGUGCUCCAGUUUCAGAUGAAGAACCGAACUGGAGAGAGGCCCCAGAGCCGCCCUGGAGUAUGAGGUGGAAAACACCAAGAGGCCUGCUUUUCCAGACCGUCUUUGAAGAGCUUUAUCUUCAGGGCUUGAGAAAUCUGCAGUUUCUGCUAAAAAGGCUUGGAAUCCUCCCUCUUAAAAGCAAACUGUGAGAAACCCAAGUCUCGUGAGGAUAACUGAGGCACUGAGCUCCCAGCCAGCAUCCAGCUUCCUGUACGUGAGUGAGCCAUCUUGAAUGUUUCAGCCUGCUCAGUCCCUAGGAUUGCAGCCUAGUGCAGUGGAGCCAACUCUCAGAAAAUAAAGAACUGGCAAGGACCUCCAGGACAGUGUUGAACAGAAGUGGCCAAAGAGGCAUCCUCUCAACUCACAGUCUCAGAAGGAAGGUUUUCAGUUACUGUGAUAUUUGGGUGAAGACUGCUCUUUUCCUUUUUUCAGAUUAUGGAAAUUCCCUUUUAUUUCUAAUUUGGCAAUAAUGUUUAAAUGAUACAUUUUUGCUAAAUUUUAUUACCUUCUUUUGAUUGCACAUUUGAGAUGAUGCUGUGGCUUUUUCCUUUAUUUUAGUAAUGGGUUGAAUUAUAUUCAUUGAUUUUCAAAUGUUAAACCAGCCUUGCCUUCCUGGUAUACAUCUAAUUUGGUUGCCAUGUAUUUCCUUUUUCUAUGUUGCUACACUCAGGUUUUUUUUUUUGUAUCUAUGUUUUAAAGAUAAAUUGACCUGUAGUUGCACAGGGCAGAGGAAGGUGCAGAGGUGGGACCCUGGCAGCCUCUGUGGAGCUGGUCACCUGCAGUCCUGGUGGGGUCCCCCAGCAUGUGGGGCUACACAUUCCUCUCUGAAUGUAGGCAAGCGGGAGGCUGAGUCUUUCUCUCCAAUGCCUGGAUGUGUGUGGAAGAGCCGGGCCUGGCCUGUUUAUGCCCCAGCAAGUGUCUGUGCACUCGGGCACUCACUCACUCUCUGUCCGUAUUCUCUUUGAAAUGGGUGGGUCAGUGCUUUGGCUUCAGAUAGAAUACUGACAAUGAAUAUGAAAGCAUGACAACAUUUGAAAUUUCCAACUAAUAAAAAUCAUGCCACAAACACAAACAGAUCUGCUGGCGAUGCAGACGUCCUGCAAUGUUGUGAGGCCAAGAGAGGUGGCUCUCCGGCUGGUGUGCUCGGUCAGUGGAGGCGUCAGCUCCUCAGGAAGCAACUGGACCCGGUCCUCUCCCAGCCUCCGGUCUCUGCCCUGCUCUUCAGGUCAUAUUGAGCAUGACAACAACUUCCCAAGUGAGGACAGGAAGAGGGGUCCACUGCCAGAAAUCAGCGCAAGGGAUACCUCGCUGGCUGGACAAGACCGAGAGGACUCCUGGGCCACGGCGCCACCCUCGCCUGACAACCAGAGGACCAACUCCCAUCUAGCUGCAACCCACAAAGUGGCUCCGGGCUGCAGGUCAGGGGCCCUGGGCUGCGCCUUUCACUGCGGAAGGAGUUUCUGCCGUUUGAGUUAUUUUCCCUUGUGUUAUAAAGGAAUUCUUCUGGGCCAGCACUAACAUUCCUUCCCCCCAUUUUGUAAACCGGCCCACAGGCCCCAGCUGUGGUCCUAAGGAGGGAAGAGAGUGGGAGACAGAACUCCACGGGCAUGGGGCAUCUGUGUCAGGGGUCCCGGAGGACGCAGAGACAGAAUUCGAACCUCUGCUCCAAAGGUUCUUAUUAAAUUUUAAGCUUGGCAGAAAAUUGACCAUUCUGGAAAUAAUAUGACCAGUGAUAAUGAUACUAAUUAAAAAAAAGUGUUCUAGGCUCAGAGCCAGACCAUGCGGGAAGUGUGGAGUCCGGAACUACAGGUAAUGGGGUCGUGGCGCGUUCUUUGGGAUGUGUCAAAACUUAAUGAAAAACAACAGAUAUUUCGUUGAGCCACUGCUGCAGGCGAACAGGGGAGAUGUGCAGAGGCAGCAGAUAGAGCCUUGUCUCCAGCACCAGCAGCACUGUGUGGGGCACAGACAAGGCCGCAGGAGGUGGACCACAGCGAGAGCCAAAGGUGGGGACAGUGGUCCCAGGGCAGCUCCCAUGGGACUGGAGAGCAGAAGCCGCCAAGGAGUGGUCGCAGAGCCUCUGACCCCUCCUCUCCAUGCACCUCUUAUCUGGGCUGGGCUAGGGAAGGGUGAGAGAAAAUCAGCUCCUUCCCGUUGCGUGUGUUCCCAGGAAGGCGACCAGAUGGCAGCCAGGCCCCAGUGACACUCAAACAUUCCAGCUCAUGCUUGGGAGGGAGGAGAAAGGCAGUGGCUAAACAGGACAAAUCCAACUGCUGCCUUCCGAGAUGGGGCCUGCCAGGCAGCGGGAAGGAGGGACGGAGGUUCACGUCCUCUCUGGACUCAGGCGCCCUCAUACUCACUACAGGAGGCUUGUCAGGACACCACGGCCUCUGGCCUUAGGUUCUUUUCUUUUGUUUUUUUAAUUUUACUGUAAGUUCUGGGGUACAUGGGCAGAAUGUGCAGGUUUGUUCCAUAGGUGUACAUGUGCCAUGGUGGUUUGCUGCACCCGUCAACCUGUCAUCUAGGUUUUACGCCCCGUAUUCAUUAGGUAUUUGUCCUAAUGCGCUCCCUCCCCUUCCCCCUUCAUCAAAAACCCGGCAGGCCCUGGUGUGUGAUGUUCCCCACCUUGUGUCCAUGUGUUCUCCCUGUUCAACUUCCACUUAUGAGUGAGAACAUGCAGUGUUUGCUUUUCUGUUCCUGUGUUAGCUUGCUGAGAAUGAUGGCUUUCAGCUUCAUUUAUGUCCCUGCAAAGGACAUGAUCUCAUCUUUUUUUUUUUAUGGCUGCAUAGUAUUCCAUGUGGCCUCAGGCUCCUGUUUCUCUGAGGCGACCACUGCCUGGGACUGGCAAGGCAAGGCAUGGGAAUUAAUUAGGCUUUCCAUCUGCUUUAGAUAGAGCAUAAAGGAGAAAAAUAAAAACAGUCUUCAUGGCCCGACCCUCUAAUGAAAUGUGCACCCAGCACACCUCUUCCUCAAGGUAUGCCGAGGUGUGCCUCCUCCACCUCUUCCUCAAGGUAUGCCGAGGUGUGCCUCCUCCACCUCUUCCUCAAGGUAUGCCGAGGUGUGCCUCCUCCACCUGUUCCUCAAGGUACGUCGAGGUGUGCCUCAUCUACCUCUUCCUCAAGGUAUGCUGGGGUGUGCUUCCUCUACCUCUUCCUCAGAGUAAAACUAGUUCCCCGGGGCGUGGACACCAUUAAUUCCAUGAGGCCCCUGCAGUGGCAUGGAUGGGCCAGGACGCUCGGGGCUGUGAAUCUCAGCUCUGCCGAGUGACCCUGGGUCUGUGACUAGACAUCUCUGAGCCUCAGCUUCCUCAUCUGUAAUACACGGAUAUAAGACCCUCAUCACAGGGCUGUGAGCAGGUCACUAGACACGCUUUCCCCAGCCUGUGAGCACACACUGUACCCAAGAGGACAGAUGAAGGAAGGGGCAUUGCCAUAUCAGUCCCACCAGCACUUAGGGAGCAGCCUGUUGUAUUAGCCCAUUUUCACUCUGCUGAUCAGGACAGACUGAGACGGGGCAGUUUACAAAAGAAAGAGGUUUAAUGGAACUUACAGUUGCACCUGACUUGGGAGGCCUCACAAUCAUGGCAGAGGGCAAGGAGGAGAAGUCCCAUCUUACACGGCAGCAGGCAAAGACAGAAUGACAAAGAUGCAAUAGCGGAAGCCCCUGAUAGAACCAUCAGAUCUCAGGAGACGUAUUUGCUCCCUCCAGACAGUGCGGGGGAAACUCCCCCCAUGAUUCAAGUGUCCCCACCAGGCCACUCCCACAACAUGGGAGGGAGUCACAAGAGUACAAUUCCAGAAGAGCCUGGGUGGGGACACAGCCCAAACCAUGUCACCUAUCCGGCGCUCAGCCCUGAGCUAGGCUUGGAUAAAUUAUGUUUAUUUCCACACAAGGAGUUUAUGAUCCUAUUUUAGGAUGGGAAUACUCUAUCAUGCAGUCAGUUCAUAAAUACUUAAUAUACAUAUAAUUCCAGAGUAAAUUAUUUAGUGCAAAAGAUAAAUUCUGCAGGAGCGUGGGGAAAGGGAGAUAGACGAGGAGUCAGAGUAUAGCGACCAUGCUAAAGAUGGCUAACUUUUUACGGGCUUCUCAGCUGAUCACUCAGCAUUAGGCUCAGCUGCAGGUAGCAGAAAUCCCAUCGAAGACCAUCUUCAGCUGGAUAAAGGUUGCUAUCUCUCUUACGUAGACUAAACCCGGAGGUAGGCAGUCUGGGGUUGGCUUGCUGCUCUUCACCUCACUCCCACCGCUGGUUAUCAGGGAUCCAGACUUUUUCUGUCUUUCUGCUCCACAGUCUUCAAUGUGUAGCUUCUGGCCCCCACGUUUCCUCAUGGUUGCAAAAUGGCUGCUGCAGCUGUAUCCAUCGUGUCUGCAUUCCAUCCAGCCGAAUCUGCCCCUUCAAGUGGCUUUCCUGGGAGCCCCACCCAACAGCUUUCUAUUGCCAAGGAGCCAGGAAAUUUAGUUUCAUAAGAAGGACACCUUAGUGUUUUUAACGUAUAGGUGUUUUGUGACUGAAGGAGAAGAGUAGCUAUUGCGUACACGGUAGAGAGCCCCUGAGGGUGAGUACCUUCUCCCUCGUUCCACCUGCCCUGUCUCCUCUUUCUCUCCACUCCACCCUCUUUCCACUAUCCCAGACUCAUCUUAGACCGGCCCCCUGCGGGACGCCUCGGUUCCGUGUGUGUUGUAUGCUUCCACACGGCAGCCCCUUUACCUGGACAGUCUGUUUGUCUAGCUAGACUGCUUCAUUUGCCGUGGUGUAUCCAGAGCUGAGUGCAGGGCACGCAGCAAGGUUUCACCAGGACCACAGGGGAUGAAGGUUCAGCGCAGCGUGCAUUACCUGUUCUAUGCAGGUGGCCUCGGGCGCAAGCACCCAGGUGAGGUGGAGGCAGGAGGACAAGUGAACCAGUGGCCAGGUCAGACCUCUGUGAACGAUCACUACUUCACUGAAGUCCUUUUGGUCAUUGGGUUUUAUUCUAAACACUGAUUUGGCCCAGCCCCCUCUUCACUGAUCAUUAUUCCGUUGGUGUGAUUAUUGUCUUCUGCUUAACAAAAGGACAGUUUUGACUAGGGAGCAUCUUCCCAGACUAUGUCAGCUGGCUGGAGAGGCCAAGGUCUGUGUUAAAGAAACACGGUGGAGACGGAGGAGAGCCCAGCCGGUAAACACCUGAGGAGAUGACCCAGGUGGGCGUGAGGAGCAGCCAUCAGGGACUUCUCUUCUCAUUAGGAAAUACCUAUUGCUUAGGAGAAUGUUAUCUGUUUGUUGGUGGGGGUCAGGGGGCAGGGGUGGAUCAAGAAAACAGAAAGUACAAAAAGGCAAAAAUUGGGCUGGGCGUGGUGGCUCACACCUGUAAUCCCAGCACUCUGGGAGGCUGAGGCUGGCAGAUCACCUGAGGUCAGGAGUUCAAGACCAGCCUGACCAACAUGGAGAAACCCAGUAUCUACUAAAAUCACAAAAUUAGCCAGGGCUGGUGGUGCAUGCAUGUCAUCUCAGCUACUUGGGAGGCUGAGACAGGAGAACUGCUCGAACCCAGGGGGUGGAGGUUGUGGUGAGCCGAAAUCGCACCAUUGCACUCCAGCCUGGGCGAUAAGAAUGAAACUCUGUCUCAAAAAGAAAAAAGGCAAACAUUUAUUCCAUCUCAUCAUCUGGAAAUCACUACCAUUGUUUUAGACUCUUGUUUUAGGUUGAGGGGUACAUGUGUUGGCUGGUUGUAUAGGUACACUCCUGUUUGGGGUUUGUCAUAUAGAUUAUUUUAUCACCCAGGUACUAAGCCUAGUACCCAGUAGUUAUUUUCUCUGCUUCUCUCCCUCCUCCCGCGCUCCACUCUCUGAUGGGCCCCAGUGGCUGUUGUUCCCCUCUAUGUGUCCAUGAGUUCUUAUCCUUUACCUUCCACUUAUCAGUGAGAACAUGUGGGAUUUGGUUUCCUGCUCCUGCUAAGGAUAAUGCCCUCCAGCUCUGUCCAUGUUCCUGCAGAAGACGAGAUCUUGUUCCCCACUGCGGCUGCAGAGUGCUCCAUGGUGUGUGUGGACCACAUCUGUUGAAGUCCAGUCUGCCACUGAUGGUGUUUAGGUGGAUUCCAUGUCUUUGCUAUUGAGAAUGGCACGGCUGUGAACGCACGUGUGUCCGUGUCUUUAUGGCACAAUGAUUUCUAUUCCUUUGGGUCUAUAUCCGGUUACGGUAUUGCUGGGCUGAAUGGGAGUUCGGUUAUAGGUCUUGAGGAAUCACCAGCCUUCUUGGAAAUCACUACUGCUAAUGUUUCAUAAACGUAACUUUAGAGCUUUCACAAUGGGUAUAUUCUCCCAGAGGAGUAGAUGGAAGUGAUUUCACACACAUGAAAUACAUCAUGUAUUAGAUUUCAUACUGCUUGUAUUUAACUCAAGAGAAUGAAUCUGAAACUGAACGUGAAGGAAAUGGCUGAAUGAAGAUGCUUUUUUUUUCCCAUAAGUGAUAUUAAUGGUUUUUCCUAAAAAUCUAAAAUUCAAAAAGUUAAGCUACAAAGUUGGGGUUAGGGUCAACUUCUCUCUUUUUUUAAAUUUUUAAUCUAACGUUAUAACUUAAAAAGCUCUGUUGGUUUCUUCCCCUUGAAUUUGCACAGUUCAUGUCUCCUACCCACUUUUCUUCCUCCACCACGACUGUUGUUGGCUAGACUAUUUUUACGGACUUGCAUUUUAUGUCAUCUACAUUCUGUUCUGUGCCACCAUUACCAUGUGUUUCAUCUGAGACCCUUCCAGAUUCCAAUACAUUGAGCAUUCUUUCCUUCCAGCUUCUUCAGGCCUGAAUUCUAACACGUUUAUGGUUCAAAUGCUGUACAGCUAAAUUUUUCUCAUCAAGUAUCUUCAUCAAGAAGGGCUCCUGGGUGCUGUGGUGAUGAGGAUACCCCUUAGCAGGUUCCAUGUACAGUUGACCCCUGAACAGCAGGGGUUUGAACUGCACGGAUCCACGGAUCCACAGAUUUUCUUCCGCCCCUGCCGCCCUCCUCUGCCUCCUCCUCCACAGCCUCCUCGGUGUGAAGACGAUGAGAAUGAAGACCUAAUGCCCAUCCAUCUCUGCUUAAAUAGUGAAUCUCUUUUCUCUUCCUCGUUGUUUCUCCUAAAAACGUUUUCUUUCCUCUAGUUCACUUGAUUAUAAGAACACAGUAUAUAAAGUAAAUAACAUACAAAUAGUUGUUUAUCGACCGUGUGUGUUAUCAGCAAGGCUUUUGGUCAAUGGGCUAUGAAGAGUUAUAUUUUUUAUUGAAUGGGGGGGUCGACACUGCUAGCACCCCCUUGAACGAGCUGUUCAAGGGUCCACCAUCACUCUCGGGUGCCUUUUCCCUCAGGAGGACCUGGCACCUGACCUGAAAUGGCUGGCAUAAGCGUAGCUGGGCAGGGGGAUGCCUCUGCCUCGGAGGUGGCUUUUCCCUGGCCCGGACACUUCGAUGACAUUUUAUCACCCCAGAGACUCAGUGACUCCAGGAAAAAAUGUCCCUUUAAUCUGCAGGUACAGACUUGGUUUGUUCAGAAAUAUCGUUCCAAUUUUGUAAAUAUAUCCUUCCUGUUCUUUUUAUUUCUGUUUCAGUUACGCCAGUUGUGCCUGUACUGGGCUCAUCUUCAUGUUUAAUCAGGUUGAAUCCUGUGAAAUUGUCAUUUUGACCACCUUUGGAAACCCAUAAAAAUGCAGAGAGAGGUGCUCAUUCCUGUGGUUCCAGUUAACAUUCCUCUCUUUGCCCGGUGUUUCCCGUUGCAUUCUCCGUGGAUGUCAGUAGGUCCUCCCUGCAUGUACCAGAUCAGGGCUAGCUGUGUUUACCCGGCUCCUUGUGGCUUCUGAUAAAAGGUAUUACUUCUCUAAUGAAGAAUUAGCAGCCUCAAUUCGUUUCUGUAUCUCUGCAACUUGGCUUUGCAUUUUACUCUGUUGUCUCAUUUUAUGUUUGAAUUCUUUUCUCAGUGACUUCUUACUCUUUAUUUUUAGCAAACUUUCACAUCAUUCUCUAUCGGAAGCAACUGUAGGUUUAAGCUUUGUAUUUGUCAUGCGACUUCUCUGUUUUUUCUCUCAGCUGUCCUCUGCCCAGGUCCUCCUGUGCCUGCCUGCCUCCCUCGCUUCCUUCCAGCCACCCUCCCUGCCUCCCUGCCUGCCUGCCUGCCUGCCUGCCUUCUUUUUGAGCUCCCUCAACAUGGGCAGCCCUGCGAGUCUUCUCUCCACCUAAACAGACUGCAGAGCUUCCCUUGGAGGGAUGGGUUCUGUGUCCUCCCUGCUCCGGUGGGGCUUGAAGGUACAGCUGGAAGCUCUCCUCUUCGUGCCAUUUUGUUAGUAGUCUGGGACCGUGGAGGAACUCCUACAAGUUCUGGGACCGUGGAGGAACUCCUGCCAGUUCUGGGACCCUGGAGGAACUCCUACAAGUUCUGGGACCGUGGAGGAACUCCUACAAGUUCUGGGACCGUGGAGGAACUCCUGCCAGUUCUGGGACCGUGGAGGAACUCCUACAAGUUCUGGGACCGUGGAGGAACUCCUGCCAGUUCUGGGACCGUGGAGGAACUCCUACCAGUUCUGGGACCGUGGAGGAACUCCUGCCAGUUCUGGGACCCUGGAGGAACUCCUACAAGUUCUGGGACCGUGGAGGAACUCCUGCCAGUUCUGGGACCGUGGAGGAACUCCUACAAGUUCUGGGACCGUGGAGGAACUCCUGCCAGUUCUGGGACCGUGGAGGAACUCUUGCAAGUUCAGGUUACAGCCAGUUCUGCAGGCAAUGCCCUGGGGUUUCCGUUUAUUGCCCCUAUUUAGAAUGGAGUUUGUUUUCUGCCAGAGACAAGGACCCCUGGGUGGGCUCCUCCCAUCCCGGUGGGAACUGAGAAAGAGGGGGAUGGGGCAGGGUGGGAGCUGCCCCGGGAUGUCCCACGGGAUCCCCGGUCCUGCAUGGGUCUUGUUCUCUUUCCCAUUUCUUUCCUCCUCCUCAUGUGUCUGCUCCUGUGGAAUAUUCCGCCCUGGAUAAGUGCGGCCAGUCGGUCAUCUCGUUUUCCUCUCCAGCUCCUCCUCCUGCUCAUCUCUGGGGCUCCUUGGAGGUGUAUUUGGGAAGAAGCUCAGAGUGAUGUCCACGGACCCUCGUCCCCAGGAUUCCGUUUCUCAGGGCAGGAGGCUGUGGAUUCCCACGCUUUUUCUUCCUGGACUUCACUAUUACAAGAUGAUGACACGAAGCUAGUCUCUAUUCCCUGGAUGGUACUACUGUGUUUCUAAACCAGUUUUCACUGACUGCUUAUUGUUCAGUUCUAUUAGGGUUUACGGGACGCUUCUGUGGUCUGGCUUUAUAUGGAGAAGGACCCUUAGUGUGUUUUAAAUAUAACUCAAAAUGUAAAAGUCAUUUCCACAAGGCUCAUUUUCACGGUGCUCAAUUCCUAGCCUUCCUCCCAGGAGACUUCCACUAGCAUCUGACACACAGGUCUCUGGCCCUGGAGACCCCUGCCUGGCCUCGGACAGACCCAGCCCUCCCUCUCUCUCAUUGUGUUCCCCUGAGUCACUGCAGAAUGUGCUGGGAAUCCAUGUCCUGAGAUGGGAGGGGCUGGCUGCAGUGGCCUCACCCUGUCCCAGCCUGUCCAAACCCAGGAUGGCCUUGCCCGCUUUAUCCCAGUGAGUCCUGGAACCCCCAGGUAUAAAACCCAAGGUGGGCUACUUUCUGGGGUUCUCAGCCAGAGUGCAAGUGGGGCACAGUCAGGUGAGACCUCUCUGCCCUGGCCACCUCCCUGAGCCUGGGGGACUGGCGGGCUAUGAGCCCUGGGCUCCCGCGGUUCCUCGAUGCCUACCUGUAAGUAGUCACCUGCUUCACAUAGCUCAUGUGGGCGGGGUCCUGGAUCCCUGGACUUGGGUCAGUAGUAAAAGUGCAGCCCAAGACGCAGUGGGCUGAAGUGCGGGCCAGAGAUUGGUAAGCCCGUCCACCCCUGCCCGUGUGGCUUCUGUGCCCUGCCCUCCAGGGCUCCUGCUGGUUUGCCACAUGCCUGGCCACCUCUGCCUCCUCUGCUGCCCCUUUGGGUUCUUCGACUUCUUGCGGUGGCUGUGGUCCAGGCCUCAGUCCUUGGGGCCUUUCUUUUCCCCUCUCUGUGGUCUUGUCAGGCUUGCGGGUUAAACCCCUGAAUGCAUUAAUGACCUUGAGGCCCUUCUGUUCUGGACCUGUCUUCUGAACCCCAUCUCAGACCCCCUGGUGGGAGGGCUCACAGGUGUUCCCUGCCUCCCCAGCCUGUGCCACCUGCCAUCUACUUCCCAGCCCUGGCAGUGUACCUGGCCUGGCAGAGUCAAGCCAGCUCUGAGGCACGGAGAGCCGUGAGUGCUGGCGGUGGUUGGAAGCCAGCAGGCAGUGGGGGCCAUGGGAGAGGGUUGGCUCUGCUGGCACCAACCCAGGACCUGCACCCAGCUUCCCUAUCCCAGCCUGUCCAGGGGAGGAACUUCCAACCCAGCAGACACCCUGGCCCCUUUCCUUCUCCACGCCCACAUCCAGCAUGUCAGGAAAUCCUGUCUCCCCGUUCACAGUUCAGACCCAGAGCCUGCUGCUGCUUCCAGCUUCCCCGCAGGUCCCAGCCAUCCUCAUUCCCCCUCUGUUAUGCAACGGGCUUGUAUUUCUCAGUCUCCCUGCUUAACCUCUGCUUAUUCUCAGGAAGGAGAUCCCCACAAUGACUCACUCUCUUUCAGGAUAACAGGCGGCUCCCCAGGCCCCACCUCUCCACGCUCACCUCCUUCUCCCUGGAAGGGUCCUCCUGGAAGCCUGUCUCCCCUCAGCCCCACUGCUCAGCUGUGGCUUCCGGAAUGCAGAUUCCAUGAAGGAAGGGCUUUGAUUCUCUUCAUUAACCGCCGUGGCCAGUGCCUAGUGGACAACACACAUUCACUGAACGGACACAUCUGUGCCAGUUGAGCAAAUUUCAGGUGGUGAGGACUUCAUUUCCUUGGCAGGGUCUCCUUGAAACACGGAGAAGGAGCUGGCUCUCGGGUGUGGGAGCUGCGUGCACACUCACCUACGGCGCAGGCUGCAUGCCUGCAGAAUGCACCAGGAAAGACCCAGCGAAGAAGCUGGGGUUGCCAUCACGCCUGAGUGGGGAAUGGAAACUUCUAGUGUCUGUGCCUGGCAAGCACUCGUGUCCAUGACUCCCAUUCAUUAUUCAUAAAAAGUGUGCAUUGCGAAGAUCUUCGGUGCACAUUUAUGUGACUCCAGCUGCAUGGAAGGUGCCAAGAUGUGAUGGCAAUUAGGAGGAGGUCAUUGCUCGCCCGCGCUGUCUCUGUGAUAAGCUUCCGUGAGAGGAGACAGGAAUACGGAAGAACCUGAAGUUGCCACGUGACCCCCGUACAGGAGUCCACACAGCUGGCUGGAGCCCCAGGGAAACAUUUGAUGGUGACAUUGCCCUCAGUGUUCCUGCUUGUGUUUUUCCUUUUCUUUUUAAAAAUACCCCCUCCCCUCUCCGCAGGACCUUCACUAGUGCAUCUGGGAGGUUAUGUGGAGGUUGGAGAGCUUUGGGUCAGGAUGACGAAUAUCUAGGGCUUAGCUCUGUGCCAGGCACCCAGCGGCACCCUGGACCUGAGAGCUGCCCCCCAGCUGGAGCCUUGUCAGGAGCUGGGGCUGGCCCAGGAGCCCUGCCCACUGGUUCCCAUGAGCGCUGUCUCUCCACAUGGAUGGGAGCGGCCGCCCUGGCCUCUGAGCUGUGCUGUAUGGCAGCUGCCCAGCUGGUUCAUAGGCUGUGCGGUAUGAUGCGUGAUGAGGUUCAGGACAGGACACCCCACCCUGAUAUUUUCAGCUAAGGAAUUUGAGAAAAGUGCAGAAGCGGGAAGCCACACUCACCUUCCUGCCUCCUCUCAUGAUUUAGGUCAUAAGAGCCAGGCAGGACUGUGGCUCUCCCCGGAAGCUGGUCUAGGAGCCCCCUGCCUGUGAGAGGUGGCCACCCUGUCUGGAGGAGCGGAGUGUCCUUAGCUCGAAAGCUGAAGGGCCUCCCGGUUUGCUGCCAACAGAUCACACCGCGUCAUUCAUUCUUUCUCACCCCAUUUUCACCAAACCUCCCGUGACACACACUCGGGUUUUCUCACCACCGCCCCGUUUUCGCCAAACCUCCUAUGAAACACACUCAGGCUCUCGCCUGUUUCUUUGGGUUGGCAUUUCCGUAUGAAGGCUCCUGCAUCGCAUAAAAUUUAAAUGAAGUAAAAUGUGCAGUUUCCUCUUGUCCAUCUGUCUCUCGUGAUAGAAGCCUCAGCCGUGAACCUAGGACGGGUGAGGAAAGGGGUCUUUCCCCUACUGAGCAAUUCUGCUGGAAGUGUUGCCUCCUUUCCUUUCUCCCCUGUGGCUGUUCCUCUUGGGACCCCUUCCUUGUCCCCUCUCCCUCCCUUCCCAGCCUGAAACUGACAAUGGAAAUUGCCUUGGGGUGGGUUGGAGGGUAGUGGGCCUUCCCUUCUGUGCCUCUCCUGCCCUUCUCCUUGCCCCCACUCCCGUGGGCCUGCAUCCUGCAGAGGUGCAAGGUUCCUGUGGGACGGGGGAGGUGUAAGUCGUUCACAGGCUGCUGGGUGGACGCCAGACACCCCCCUGCUUAGUCUAUUCCUGGACCUGGGCCACGGAAACACGCCACGGAAAACGUAUGGAAGUUACUGCCCUGGAAGGAAAGCAUCAUCAAAAUGAAAUUCAACAGGUGCCACCCGAGGAUGCUGGGCCUGGGAUGGCCCUCCCUGGAUGCAGCACUGCGCUGUGGAAUGUACCCGGGCCCUCCAUGGGUCCAGGGCAGCCUAGGGCAGUGUGGGUGGGAGCCUGGGGGUCUGGGGGCUCCAUGGAGCGGGAAUCCUGCCUUGGCCCCGGGAUCUUCCUGCGGCGGUUCAGGUAACAUUUUCUAGGCUGCAGGAAGAUUUCCGGGAGCUUCCCGGAGGGGGAUGCAACCCCGUUUGCGUCCUCGGUGAAUACGUAGAUGUUUCAUGAUUCUUGGUGGUUUCUGAAUCCGGGAAGUCGGUGCUGAGUCCUGCUGGUGCUCCUGCUGCCUUGCUGGGAUCACUAGGGGUGCCCAGCGGCCCUAGACCUCUCGCCUGGAGGGUAUUCAGGAAGGAGCCCAGUGCCAAGCAACUCCACCCUGUGGAUUCUGUUUCAGGUGAAACCUGCCCAUCUGGCCAACCUCGGCACCCUCCUCCUGCUUUGUCAGGACACAAACGCAGACCCUGGCCCUGCCUGUCAAGAAGUCUGCAGAGGCUCAGCCUCCCCCUGGGCAUUGUGGGGGCUCUUCCACCCUCCCCAUCACAGGCUAAGCUCUUUUCUUUUUGCCAUGGGGCAUCUUGAUAGCAUAUUUAGCAAAAUGCUGCAGCUGGCACAUGUGUGGCAUUUGAGCUGCUGCUUCUGAGCCAGCUUCCCAGGCCUCAGGUACACCGGAGUUCACUCAUCACACCAUCUCUGCAGCGACAGGUUACGUGGGAAUUGGGCAGGGCCAACUUUCCCCGGAUGACUGGGGUCCUUGAUGUGAUACCCCGCUCAGCAAACCCUGCCUUUCUUUCCCUUUGCAAUUCUUGAGACCAUUUUCUACUUGAAAAUAAAGCAACCUUAAGGCACCGUGUUCGUUUCCAUUUCAGAGAGUAGUUUUGCUCCUUUUUUCCUAUGAGAGAAAAACGUGAAGCCCCUUCCCUGCCACCGACUUUCCCUGUCUGCCCCGAUGCCAGCCUGCCUGUGUCUUCACGGGAAUCUCCGUGGGCGAGGAGCUGUUUAUGCCUUCCUGGACGGACAUGCAGGCUGUGCUGUGUCUUGAGAGGCACCGAGGCCUCACCACGGCUUCAGCCAUGGGCGUCGAUUUCUCCCCUAAAGCUCUGGAGGACACUCUCCGGACUGUUCUCCUGGCUCCUCCAGCUCAGACUGCAGCCCUGUCCCAACACCACCUAGACGGGAGCAGAGCCAGCGGCUGCGGUUACAGGCUCAGAGGAUGUGUUCUUAGAGCUGGAGGCCCUGGGUCAAAGCGGGUGGCAGCUUCCCCGCCCUGUACCUACCCAGCUGCCUUCUAGAAGCUGGGCUGGUCCCACGGACGGAGAAUUCUGCUUCACUCAUCAGCAGCGGCACAAAGCUUCAUCAUGUGAAAUGCUUCCUCCGUGGCUGUGGAAGAAACGGGUUUUCAUUUUGACUCCGGUUGCAUGGAGUUCACGUGCUGUGGUGGGUGUCUGUCUCCUCCAGCUGCAGGCACCAGCCUGGGGGGCUCGGGGGGCCCAAUUCUGGUGUUGAUAUUCAUGGGGACAUAUGUGGACAGGGCCCAGGCGAGGUUUGCUGGUCCCUGAGAAAACAGCCCAAGAGGACCCAUCCCUUCCUCUUCCACUGGCCAAGGUCAGAUCUGAAUGUGGCCAAGGGACCGUCGCAGUCUCUCUCCACCCAGAGGCCUGGCUGCCUGAGCUGUUCAGAGCCUCUGAAUAACCAAGCCUGAGCGUGCCCUGCUGGGUCUGCACUUCUGUUCUUGAAGGCAAUGCACCACGUGCUGCUCCCGCCACCAGCCGUGUGCUUGUGUGUUCUCCAUGGCUGGCGCCUCCUGCGCACCGUGCUGUGGCCUGGCACUCCUCCCGUGUGUGUUCUCCAUGGCUGGGACCUCCCACGUGCCGUGCUGUGGCCUGGCACUCCUCCCGUGUGUGUUCUCCAUGGCUGGUGCCUCCUGCACCAUGCUGUGGCCUGGCACUCCACCCGUGUGUGUUCUCCGUGGCUGGUGCCUCAUGCAUGCUGUGCUGUGGCCUGGCAUUCCUCCUGUGUGUGUCCUCCGUGGCUGGUGCCUCCUGCACCAUGCUGUGGCCUGGCACUCCACCCGUGUGUGUUCUCCGUGGCUGGUGCCUCAUGCAUGCUGUGCUGUGGCCUGGCAUUCCUCCCGUGUGUGUCCUCCGUGGCUGGUCCUCCCGUGCGCCGUGCUGUGACCUGACACUCCUCCUGUGUGUUCCUCCAUGGCUGGUGCCUCAUGCGUGCUGUGCUGUGGCCCGGCACUCCUCCCAUGUGUGUUCUCCAUGGCUGGCGCAUCCUGUGCAUGGUGCUGUGGCCCAGCACUCCUCCCGUGUAUGUUCUCCGUGGCUGGCACCUCGUGCGCCCUGCUGUGGCCUGGCACUCCUCCCGUGUGUUUCUCCGUGGCUGGUGCCUCAUGCGUGCUGUGCUGUGGCCCGUCACUCCUCCCGUGUGUUUCUCCGUGGCUGGUGCCUCAUGCGUGCUGUGCUGUGGCCCAGCACUCCUCCCAUGUGUGUUCUCCAUGGCUGGCGCGUCCUGUGCAUGGUGCUGUGGCCCAGCACUCCUCCUGUGUAUGUUCUCCGUGGCUGGUGCCUCAUGCGCCCUGCUGUGGCCUGGCACUCCUCCCGUGUGUGUUCUCUGUGGCUGGCGCAUCCCAUGCUCUAUACUGUGGCCUGGCACUCCUCCUCCUGCUGCUCGGCAGCUGCGGGCUGCUCUCCAGUGUCGUGCGACGGCCUUCUGAAAAAUGGAACCAACAAACUCAGUCACCUGGAAGCUGCAAAGUGUG
This is a non-coding RNA of Callithrix jacchus (white-tufted-ear marmoset), 19044 nucleotides long. Lineage: Eukaryota; Metazoa; Chordata; Mammalia; Primates; Cebidae. The record is from RefSeq and is a predicted model, not a curated record.